UAAACGACUCUCGGCAACGGAUAUCUCGGCUCUCGCAUCGAUGAAGAACGUAGCGAAAUGCGAUACUUGGUGUGAAUUGCAGAAUCCCGUGAACCUUCGAGUCUUUGAACGCAAGUUGCGCCCGAAGCCAUUAGGCCGAGGGCACGCCUGCCUGGGCGUCACAC
This 164-nucleotide ribosomal RNA is filed under the name Rubus montanus. RNAcentral describes it as "5.8S ribosomal RNA". It matches the Rfam family "5.8S ribosomal RNA". Rfam says of the family: 5.8S ribosomal RNA (5.8S rRNA) is a component of the large subunit of the eukaryotic ribosome. It is transcribed by RNA polymerase I as part of the 45S precursor that also contains 18S and 28S rRNA. Lineage: Eukaryota; Viridiplantae; Streptophyta; Magnoliopsida; Rosales; Rosaceae. The record is from RNAcentral.